GACCUAAAAUGCCGUGAACUAUAGAGCAAGGUCACUAAAAUGGUGACACAGGUUGUUCCUUCACUCCCUCUCACAAGGGGAAUAACUGUCACCUAUUUAUGAGCAAGACAUCACUGAGAGAAUCCUAGCAUCAGUGGGUGAGGAUGAUGGAGCCCCUGCACCUCAGAGCCCAAAUAGACUGGAAGGGGAUGGCAGGAAAACCAGUAGGGCUCAACCUCUGAGUAUCUGCCUGGGAUAAAGGUAAGAGACUUGCAACAACCGACAACCAACAAACACAUGGAUCUUGGUGAGCUGAGUUCCCAUCUGCAGAGCCUAAGGAGUCAUCCCAGCCAGAGGCUUGGCUUAUCUACAGAACCAAGUUUAGGGUGCAUUCUGACCAGGGAACUCGGUGAGAGAUGGAGGAAACAGCCAGAGGACUAGAAGUGGAGCCUGAAGAUGUGUCUGAAUGGCUGCAAUCUCAUGAUCAAACUUUUACGGAUGAGGCGUUGUUUCUUAGGGAGGCACAAAGCAAGCGGUUCCUUGAGGUGGAAUCUACCCCCAGUGAAGAUGCUGUGAAGACUGAUGAAAUGACAACAAAGGAUUUACAGUAUUACAUGAACUUAGUUGAUAAAGCAGCUGCAGGGUUUGAGAGGAUUUGACCCCAGUUUUGAAAGGAGAUGUACUGUGGGUAAAAUGUGAUGGAAUAGUAUUCCCUGCUACAGAGAUAUCAUUUGUGAAAGGAAGAGCCUAUUGAUGAGGCAAAUUUUGUUGGCUUAUUUUAAGAAAUCACAGCCACACCAGCCUCCAACAACCACCACCUUUAUCAGUCAGCAGCUAUCCACAGUGAGGCGAGAUCCUUCCCGAGAAAAAAAGAUUAUGACUUGCUAAAGUUGAGGUGAUAGUUAGCAUUUUGUUUUAGCAAUAAAGUACUUUUAAAAUA
RNA transcript from Leopardus geoffroyi (Geoffroy's cat), 919 nucleotides. It is a transcript of the gene named tigger transposable element-derived protein 1-like, with no coding region annotated. The record is from RefSeq and is a predicted model, not a curated record. Lineage: Eukaryota; Metazoa; Chordata; Mammalia; Carnivora; Felidae. The transcript is spliced from 3 exons.